Mytilus californianus (California mussel) is the source of this 302-nucleotide long non-coding RNA. RefSeq lists it as uncharacterized. The transcript has 3 exons. The record is from RefSeq and is a predicted model, not a curated record. NCBI's taxonomy places the organism in Eukaryota, Metazoa, Mollusca, Bivalvia, Mytilida, Mytilidae.
CUUCCUCUUUUUAUUUACACCAUGUAUAAUACUUUUUCAGGCGAGGCAACAGAAGCAAAGCCUCAACAAUGUAAUGGUUCGAACGAAUGUGGCUUUAACCAAUGUUGUGCCAAUAAAAAUCUUAAAGGACGAAAAAGAUGAUCUCUUAGUUUUGCUGGAGUUUGUAAACCGUGUGGUCAAUAUGAUGCAGAAUGUGCAGUGAAAAAUCAAAAUGCUAAUGACAACGUGUUUCCGGGUUGGUGUCCAUGUACUGCUCCUUUUAAUUGUAAUGGAACAGGAAAUAUUGAAAACCCGUUUGGUGA